AUGGUGAGCCGCCGCGCCGGCACCGGCACCGGCACGCCCGCUGCGCCGCCGACGGAGAGCGAGGCGCGGUCGCAGCGCGGGAAGGAGGAGGUGGUGGUGGUGGGCGCCAGGGAGAGGCCCUUGAAGGCCCCCGCCAGGGCGAACGCCAUGGAGGCCAUGGGCCGCUGGAGCGGAGGGAGGCAACGUGGCAGCUUGGGAAGAAGACGGGGGAAGAGAGCAGAUGAGG
RNAcentral lists this long non-coding RNA (226 nucleotides) under Zea mays. RNAcentral's name for it is "long non-coding RNA (ZMAY_LNC005097)". The record is from RNAcentral. Lineage: Eukaryota; Viridiplantae; Streptophyta; Magnoliopsida; Poales; Poaceae.